RNAcentral lists this ribosomal RNA (1460 nucleotides) under Moraxella sp. RNAcentral's name for it is "bacterial SSU rRNA". The record is from RNAcentral. Lineage: Bacteria; Pseudomonadati; Pseudomonadota; Gammaproteobacteria; Moraxellales; Moraxellaceae.
GCUCAGAUUGAACGCUGGCGGCAGGCUUAACACAUGCAAGUCGAACGAUGAUUAUCUAGCUUGCUAGAUAUGAUUAGUGGCGGACGGGUGAGUAACAUUUAGGAAUCUGCCUAGUAGUGGGGGAUAGCUCGGGGAAACUCGAAUUAAUACCGCAUACGACCUACGGGUGAAAGGGGGCGCAAGCUCUUGCUAUUAGAUGAGCCUAAAUCAGAUUAGCUAGUUGGUGGGGUAAARGCCCACCAAGGCGACGAUCUGUAACUGGUCUGAGAGGAUGAUCAGUCACACCGGAACUGAGACACGGUCCGGACUCCUACGGGAGGCAGCAGUGGGGAAUAUUGGACAAUGGGGGCAACCCUGAUCCAGCCAUGCCGCGUGUGUGAAGAAGGCCUUUUGGUUGUAAAGCACUUUAAGCAGGGAGGAGAGGCUAAUGGUUAAUACCCAUUAGAUUAGACGUUACCUGCAGAAUAAGCACCGGCUAACUCUGUGCCAGCAGCCGCGGUAAUACAGAGGGUGCGAGCGUUAAUCGGAAUUACUGGGCGUAAAGCGAGUGUAGGUGGCUCAUUAAGUCACAUGUGAAAUCCCCGGGCUUAACCUGGGAACUGCAUGUGAUACUGGUGGUGCUAGAAUAUGUGAGAGGGAAGUAGAAUUCCAGGUGUAGCGGUGAAAUGCGUAGAGAUCUGGAGGAAUACCGAUGGCGAAGGCAGCUUCCUGGCAUAAUAUUGACACUGAGAUUCGAAAGCGUGGGUAGCAAACAGGAUUAGAUACCCUGGUAGUCCACGCCGUAAACGAUGUCUACUAGCCGUUGGGGUCCUUGAGACUUUAGUGGCGCAGUUAACGCGAUAAGUAGACCGCCUGGGGAGUACGGCCGCAAGGUUAAAACUCAAAUGAAUUGACGGGGGCCCGCACAAGCGGUGGAGCAUGUGGUUUAAUUCGAUGCAACGCGAAGAACCUUACCUGGUCUUGACAUAGUGAGAAUCCUGCAGAGAUGCGGGAGUGCCUUCGGGAAUUCACAUACAGGUGCUGCAUGGCUGUCGUCAGCUCGUGUCGUGAGAUGUUGGGUUAAGUCCCGCAACGAGCGCAACCCUUUUCCUUAUUUGCCAGCGGGUUAAGCCGGGAACUUUAAGGAUACUGCCAGUGACAAACUGGAGGAAGGCGGGGACGACGUCAAGUCAUCAUGGCCCUUACGACCAGGGCUACACACGUGCUACAAUGGUAGGUACAGAGGGUUGCUACACAGCGAUGUGAUGCUAAUCUCAAAAAGCCUAUCGUAGUCCGGAUUGGAGUCUGCAACUCGACUCCAUGAAGUCGGAAUCGCUAGUAAUCGCAGAUCAGAAUGCUGCGGUGAAUACGUUCCCGGGCCUUGUACACACCGCCCGUCACACCAUGGGAGUCUAUUGCACCAGAAGUAGUAGCCUAACGUAAGAGGGCGCUUACCACGGUGUGGUCGAUGACUGGGGUGA